AUAAAAACUACAAUGUUUUUCAAAAGUAAUUAUUUGUUAAAAUUAUUCUUAGUAAUCAAGUAUACAUAUCUUAUUGACUUUUGAAAAGCUUAAUAUAAGUAUGAUUUAAAAAGAAAUUCCAAAUAGCUUUAGAAAUAUUUAUAGAGAAAUUGUAGUCCCUAUACAAACAGAACUGCAUAAUUUGCAACGAUGGACUUUUAUUUUUUCUGCUUGUGUGUUUUUUUAGUGGCCCUUAUACCCCUAUUUUCGAAUACUAAAUGCUAAAGUCUAACUUCUUUCUGUCUCAUUUCUCCUCUCUCCUUUGCCCUCUUUUUCUUCUAUGUCAACAUACCUCACCUCUCUCAUCUUAUCUCUUUCUUCAAAGUUUCUUAAAUCUUUUAUGUCUCUUUAUCUAUCAUUUCUUAUUCUCUUCA
This 413-nucleotide long non-coding RNA is filed under the name Brassica napus (rape). RNAcentral describes it as "long non-coding RNA (BNAP_LNC022804)". The record is from RNAcentral. Lineage: Eukaryota; Viridiplantae; Streptophyta; Magnoliopsida; Brassicales; Brassicaceae.